Panthera uncia (snow leopard) is the source of this 541-nucleotide long non-coding RNA. RefSeq lists it as uncharacterized. NCBI's taxonomy places the organism in Eukaryota, Metazoa, Chordata, Mammalia, Carnivora, Felidae. The record is from RefSeq and is a predicted model, not a curated record. The transcript has 3 exons.
GCAGCAGGUCCUAUGUUCCCAUCUGUUUGGGGAUGGAGAAGAUUCCAGAAUUUUUUCGCCCUGGAGAGUUGCACUGGGGACAAAGUUUAGGUAAACUGCUUCUGACCACUACAUCAUCAUCGCUUCUCGGCCUUUUGGCUAAGAUCAAGUGCAGACCGCUACGUCAACUCAACAGAUGCCUGGAUGUUAAGUGCAGUCUUUGGGCUUGAAUUCGGACCCUCUGGCUUCCAGUGCCUGGCUGUGCAGCCUUGGUCAGGUUACCUACCCUCUCUGUGCUCAACGUCUGCACCUGGAAAAACAGGACACCGUCUUCUUUGGAUCUCUGGGAGAAUUAAUGAGAUACUGCGCACAAAGAACUUGACACAGGGACGCAUUCCAGGGGCGUGUGUUUGCGGUUCUCGACGCGCCCGGAUCCUGCCUGCCUCCCCGGGGCGCCCUGGCUGCCCGCUCCCACCUCCCUACCUCCCAUCCCCCACCCGCGCCCCACUCCGGCCUCGCCGUUCCACUCCCGCCCAACCCCACCCACAUGUGUUCUCCAUAG